AAUGAUUCAUCAUGAAGGAACAAAAAACCUUAAGAGCCAUAAAAUUAACGAGGUUCCUCUGACACUAAUUUCUAUUCACUUUAGGUUGGUUCUAAAGCCCUUUGACAGAAGAUGAGCAUAAAUAAUUUGAUUCCAAGUGUCUGGUAUUCCAGGUAAGCACCAAUGGCUGCAAUCCUGUGGUGCAUCAACUGGAGUGCCUGGUUCACGAUGGAAGGAAGGGUGACCAUCGUUCCUCAACUCUGUCAGAUAUGUGAUAUUUAGGAAGUAUGCCUUUCUCCUUUUGUUUUCUAUCUGUUUGAUUACAUUGGAAACAAACAGAUUAUUUGAUGUCUCAGGUUCCAGUUUUGAGUAGUUUGUUUCCGGUGAGGUAUUACUAUCACAAUGACCUCCUUCAUUCCAUGUUCCAUCCCUGCACAAAAAAAAAAAAAACUUUGUUUAAGCAGAAUCAUCCAUCUUUAAAGUCUGUGCCGCUGAACUCAGCAUGCAGUGUUUAAUUUACAGACAUGAUGUUAUGUUAUUCUUGGUGGAGGCAAGCAAUGGUAUUAACACUGGG
This 553-nucleotide long non-coding RNA is filed under the name Daucus carota (carrot). RNAcentral describes it as "long non-coding RNA (DCAR_LNC007017)". The record is from RNAcentral. Lineage: Eukaryota; Viridiplantae; Streptophyta; Magnoliopsida; Apiales; Apiaceae.